CUAAAAUGUGCUUUAGAAUGCUUUUUCCAGGUCACAGUGGAAAUAAUCUAUUAAAAGAAAAGACCUGUCACAUUUUUCUCUAGAUCUCUCUUAGAACCAGGAACUGCUUGUUCCAGCAGGUAAACAAACAAAAAAAACAUAUAGGAUACAAUAGCUAUACUAAAGCAUAUAGUAUACAAUAGCUAUAGAUUUCAAUUACUGUUGAAAAGAAACCAGCUCACCAUUGCUUUCAAUGUAUUAGAGCAUCAGCAAGAUACAUGGUAUAUAAAGGCUCUUCAUUCUGUGUAACAGCACAACUUGCAUGAACAGAUCAACCAUCACUGAAAAUGGGAAAGGUAAGAUGAUCUGAACAUUGUAAAUAUUUGUAACACAAGAAAUAUUGGAAAAAAUAAACAGAUUUUUUUUUUUUAAAUGAACCAAACAGUUAAUAUUAAAAAAGCUUACACUGAAAGCCAGCAAACUUUAUCUGCUGAAUAAUAUACUGUGGUGACAUAAUUUAGGUCAAAAAGAUAACAACACAAUAUUCCGUAAACCAGUUUUGGACAUUUGAUGCCUCAUCGAAAAAGAAUUAAUCAGAACACAUAAUUCACAUUUUUCAGACUCAAGAUUAAGAUUGUUUCCGUGUUUGAUUAAAUUUUUUCUAGGAUUAUGUUAAAAUGACAGAGGAGUCCAUGGAAUACAAGAAGCAGGACAUUCUCAGUACUCACUAGUAGAUGCCACUAUUCACUGUAAUAAAUUGCUAUAAUUAUGUGAAAGUGAAUGCAAGCUCACCAAUCAAAAACACAAAAUGUACCAAAAACUUAUAUUCCAAUUCUACCCUAAACUUAUAUGUAUAAAUCUCCUACACUUUAUUAUUUAAACAGGGUAAUAGUUGGUGUUUUUAGGAAUCUAUAGCAUCAAGUAAUCAAACCAGAAACAUUUUUAAAUGAAAUUAUUAACCACUAAAACAAUUAUAAUCUGAAAAAUCUAAAAUGUUCAAAUGCAUGGUUCUUUCACAGAUUGUUUUCUACGAGGAUCGUAACUUCCAGGGCCGCUCUUAUGAGUGCAACUCUGAGUGUCCAGAUAUGUCCUCAUAUUUUCAUCGCUGUAAUUCUGUCCGAGUGGAAAGUGGAAACUGGAUCCUGUAUGAGCACCCCAACUAUAGAGGACACCAGUAUUACCUAAGCAGGGGAGAAUAUCCUAAUUUCCAGCAAUGGAUGGGUUUCAAUGACUCCAUCAGAUCUUGCCGUAUUAGCCCACAGGUAAAUAUAUUAACCAGAGCAUAUUAUAAAAAUAUUAUGAUUCAGUCCAAAAAAAAUUAUUUCCCAAUUAUCAAUUAAUUAUUGUUUUACCUUUGCAAAUAUAUCCUUUUGUUACCAUUAUUAAUUAUGUUAUGGAAUAUAUCUUCAAUUCACAAUUCCAUUGUCAGGUAACGGGGGGGGGGUUAACAUUGAUACAAAAAUCUAUACUAUUGUAUAGAUUUUUGAUGUUUAUAUGAAGUUAUAUAAUCAUUGUACUCUUGUUUAUAAAUAUUUUUUAUUCAUAAAGCACCAUGGAUCAUUCAGAGUGAAGGUCUAUGAGAGGGAAGAUUUUCAAGGUCAGAUGAUGGAGUUUACUGAAGAUUGUCCUAAUGUCAACGAGAGAUUCCGUUACCAUGACAUCCACUCCUGCCAGGUACUUGAUGGCUACUGGAUGUUCUACGAGGAACCAAAUUACAGGGGCCGCCAGUAUUAUCUUAGACCUGGAGAGUACAGAAAAUAUACUGACUGGGGUGCCAUAAGCCCAAGAAUUGGCUCAUUCAGGAGACUUCACUUUUUCUAAUAAGUUGUAUUAAUUGCUAAAUCAGCAUGUCAUUAAGAAUAUAAUAAAAGCUUUAAAUAAUUAUCUUUAAGGUCUAUAUUUAUUUCAUUUUCUAUUUUUGUUGUGGUCAUAUACAUUUUACUAAGUUAUUUUAAACCACAGUUCAGUAAAUGAGUUAUUAUUCUAACAAUGGUUCUUAUAAAAACAAAUAAUGAAUAAGUAAUAAGGUGAAUUAUAUUAUUUUUCCACUAUAGUCCCUCAGAAAGGUGGAGUUGUGACAGACAAAAUACUUAUUUUACUAAAUGGUUUGACAAAAAAAAAGUAAAGGUAUUUCUUAAAAGAAAAAUGAAAACAUCCUUUCAACAACACUGUCAUGUAUCAAAUAAUAUCUAUGGUGUUUUCAGGUAUGAUUUUUUUUUUUAAUGCUUUCUGUACAGAAUAUAC
Non-coding RNA from Pelobates cultripes (western spadefoot toad), 2223 nucleotides. The record is from the annotation of a GenBank genome assembly. Lineage: Eukaryota; Metazoa; Chordata; Amphibia; Anura; Pelobatidae.